AUGAAUGAUGGAAAGGAUUUAGAGAAAGGAAAAGGGAUUACUUUUGAAGAAAGCGUCAUAAGCUGUAGAUCACAGCGGAAGAUUCCAAAGGAAAUAAAGGUAUGGCCUCACCCCCCUGAAGGUUGGCUGGCAGUAUCUACUGAUGGUUCUUUUGGUACGUGCGAUAAUGGCGUAGGCACAUCAAUGAUUACUAGAGAUAGCAGCGGAAGACAUGCCCUUUCUGCUUGUUGGUUUGUGCCUCACCGCAAAGAUGCGUUUGAAGCUGAACUCCUGGCAAUUAGAGGAGUCCGGGCAGCACUGAUGCAUUCCACGGCACCACUUCAGGUGCAGUCUGAUUGUGCUGCAGUUGUGAAGAUACUAAAAGAGAAGGAUAAGAAUAAGUCAUACCUGGGCCAUGUAGUGGGGGAAAUUAAGGAGAUGUUAGGAGAGAGAGAGAGAGCUUGUCCUUUUAUAUAUUGA
This 459-nucleotide ribosomal RNA is filed under the name Triticum aestivum (bread wheat). Its description in RNAcentral is "partial small subunit ribosomal RNA". The record is from RNAcentral. Lineage: Eukaryota; Viridiplantae; Streptophyta; Magnoliopsida; Poales; Poaceae.